Long non-coding RNA from Musca domestica (house fly), 707 nucleotides. RefSeq lists it as uncharacterized. Lineage: Eukaryota; Metazoa; Arthropoda; Insecta; Diptera; Muscidae. The record is from RefSeq and is a predicted model, not a curated record. The transcript is spliced from 2 exons.
UCUACUUAGUUUUGACAAAACAUUUAAAAAAUUUUGGCAUGCCAAUGUUCCCAAGCAUUGCUGCAUCUACCUGUAUUCUUCUACUAUGGGUUAAUCCGCCGGAACUAUUAAAUAUAGUCCAUGGCCCAAUUAUAAGAUCGACAAGUAAGACCAGCUGAUACCUUCAUUUUCUGUCAACAUUAUUUGAAUUCGCCUGUCAACAAAGAUGUCAAUAAUUACUUGUCCGUUAUAUACAUUGGUGUAUCAACCCCGUAGCUAUUAGAAUAACUAGAAGGACGUAGCUAAAUCGACAUAGAAUUUUAUGCUGAUCAAGAAUAUACAUAAUAUAGUCUAAAAUGUUUAUUUCGAGGUGACAAAUCUUAUAUACCCUCCAUACUAUGGUAAAGGCUAUAAAAAGAUAAGAAACUUACUUUUCAAAAAUGGUGAGAGUUUGCAAUUUGCAUUGACCUGAUCCGCCCAUGCAUUUGUUUCAGAAAUACGACAAAUUUUCUAUUACGAACUCUGUCAUCAGUUUACAAAUGUAAUAGUUGGUCAGCCUCGCUGCAUUCUAGGUCUUACAACACUGUCCGCUGCCAUUGAUAAAAUUCGCAUAUCCGAUACCAAACUCACCCCCAUAUAUGAUGAUCUUGGCCAAAUAAGUCCUAAAUCGAUGUGUUUGUUAAAAAAUGUAUUAAAAAUUUUCAAUUAAAUUUUACAUUUAGUUCCAA